This is a non-coding RNA of Pelobates cultripes (western spadefoot toad), 704 nucleotides long. Lineage: Eukaryota; Metazoa; Chordata; Amphibia; Anura; Pelobatidae. The record is from the annotation of a GenBank genome assembly.
CUGGUACACUAGGGAAGCCAAGACCACAGCUUUCAGAUUGGGCAGAAAGUCUUGGUACUAAAGCCCGUGCACAAUGACAAGCCGCAGGUUGCCUGGAGCAAAAAUGUGAUACCACCUGUUAUCUGUCCAUGCUCCGGGGAAGGGGUGCGUCGCAUGUUACAUGUUAACAUGCUCAAUCCCUACCACAAGCAGAUGGAGGAGGUGGUGACCAUAUGCGCCUCUGCAUUAAAAGAUUUAGAUAAUCUUCCCUUGCCUGACCCCGUAGAAGAAGGUAGUAGUUCAAUAUAGGAGGUCCGACUGGAAGACCUGUUAAGAGCCAGCGAGAGUACCCAGGUAAAGAACAUACAAGAGGCCAAGGGGGCCAUGUUCUCUAAUGUACCUGGCUACACUAUCCUGGCAAUCCACAGAGUAGAAACUCACAAAUAGCUACCCCUUUGCCAACCCUCUUACCGAAUUCCCAUGUCCAUUCGGGAAGAUAUGAUACAGGAGAUGCUCCGACUGUGUGUUAUCUUGGGCCUCUCCCACAGUACUAGUGUUGAAGCAGGCAGAGCCGGUGCAAGGAUUUUUGCCGCCCUAGGCAAAUUUGCCGCCCCCCAUAUGUCCUGCCCACUAUGUGACAUCACAAUGCCCCGCCCAUAUGCUCUGCCAUAUGGGCCAACGCCAGUCUUCACAAAGUGUCUUUUAUCUGAAAAGACAGUGUGUUU